This 2718-nucleotide long non-coding RNA is filed under the name Taeniopygia guttata (zebra finch). RNAcentral's name for it is "lncRNA (ENSTGUG00000019905.1)". Lineage: Eukaryota; Metazoa; Chordata; Aves; Passeriformes; Estrildidae. The record is from RNAcentral.
AUGACUUGCAUGAAGAUGUUGGUAUCCUGCAUCUGUUUCCCUGUUUUGCCAGAUGCUUUGAGCUCAACAGGUCGCCAAGAGCAGGCAGUGAAACCCCAAACCUUCAGCGGUGGCUUUGGAUGCCUGCAGCAGCCAGGGCUUCUCUGGCCACCUGUGUGUUUGCGGCUUUUAAGUGCCUGCCCAGACCCUGACGUUUCAAGCGUUUUAGCAGUGGCUAUUGGAAUGGUGCUUCCCCAUUGUUUAUUUUAACCAGUGAUUAAUCAAGACCCUGUGAUUCUGUUGCUUGCUGUUCAUGGACAGCCUUGCUCUACUGUCUUGAAAAUAAUCACUGGUUAAAACUUCUCAGUGCUACACAAUAGUCUGAAAUUUUAGCUAUAGAUUUAAGAUGUUGCUAAAUUGCAUAGAUGUUGAGAUGAAGGUGUUAGUUUAGUUAGGCUUUCAAAUGUACGUGUCAAUGGAGCCUAUGUCUUGGCAGAAUAGGAAAUCAUAUAUUUAUCCUUUGGCCAAGGGCUGGCCGCAGUGCAGUUUAUAUAGACAGUGACACAGCAAAUCUUUCCAAUCAGUAAACCACAAACCUUAGUCUUACUCUGCAGGACCACACUUUUCCAGUCUAAAGAGAAAAUCAUGUAAUUCUGACAGUGUUUGUCACACAGCAUCUGUACAGCCUAGAGUAUGACUCAGUAUGACUGAGCCAGUUGAAUGCACAGGCACUUGUCUCUUGGAGUUCUGACCACUUUCCUCAAAAUACCUGUUUUAACCUUAGCUACAGUGGAUAAUAGUCAACACAUUUCUACAUUUAAUUAGUUUGGCUGCAUGUUAUUCUAUACACCUAUUAAUCAUACUGUAAAAUAUUUAUUGAUGUAACCUUCUUGUAAUUACCUAUUAUGACUUGCUGAUGUAUUCUUUAUCUAAGAAAGAAGAAACUUCUCUUUCUUUUUACUUUGCCAUAGAAGUACAAGUUACUUACAUUCAUAAGCAAAAGCAGGGUGAGUAAAAAUCAGUACUUUUAUGUUGAACUGAAUUUUGAUGUCACUACUACUACAGUGGGCCUCUGAUAAAGGACUGUCAGUGUUUCUAAAUGGCUGCAAUAAAAAAACCCAAAAACACAAACCCUUUGCUCCUCUGCAGGGUGUUUAAAGCAUUUUGUGUUAGUAAAGCCUGCUAUUUUGAAUGAGUUUUAUAUCAAGACCAGAAAAUACGUGACCUGGCUUUAUUAGUUUUGCAGCAAGUCAGACUUUGGGAAUGUUAUGGUUAUCUUCUUUGUGCCUUGGAUAACUAAUCUGCAGGGAAAAGGCUAUCUUGACCUAUUUCAGAAGAUUGUUGUAAUUAUAGAUGUGUUACUGUCUGUAAAUAAAUUUGAGACCUUGUAGAAACGUUUUUAGAAGUCUAAGUUUUCACAACUGAUGUUUUGACCAUUUUUCCACUUAUUAUUCAUUGCCAAAACUUCUCCUCUUCUUUGGGGAAUUUAUUUUCACUGCCGAAUCUACCAAUCUUUUCUUUCACCCAGUGCCCUUAAAAAGCCUGACAAAGAACUAAGAAAUUUUAAACCUUUUAGCUGCUGAAGUGUCUUCUUGGAAAUGAAACUUUAAAAAGUAUGUUACUGCUUGGAUUAAGAAGGGCUGCAUUGUUGGUUAGAGAGAGCUCCCAUAAAUGCUGUGUGGAAGCAUCUCAUAGCAAACAAUGGAUACUGGAAAGGAAAUUAACAGUGAUCCAUUGAUUUCUUACUACACUUCUGAACUGUUUGUCUGUUUUCAGCUUCUAAACAGUGAAUCAAUACACAGACAAGUCUUGAUCUCAUAGAAUAAUCGCUGGUAUGCAGCAGCACAUCUUGUGGUUAGGGCAAUAGAGGGAAUUUAGGAAGAACUGUAUUCCAAUUACUUGUUCAGCCACUAUGGCAUUAGAAAAACCCUUUCACUUGUUUUAGUUCACUUCCUUUAUAUAUAUAUAUAUUUAUUUUUUAUUUUUUUUCUGAGGGGGGGGUUAGAUUUUGUGGACAUUUUUCUAGGGGUAUUUUAUCCUCCGUUUUCUUUUGCCAAGCUCAGCACAAGGCCUGCCUGGACAGAGUGGUCAUAUCUACAUAGCUCCAUCCCCUGUGUCCAUUACUGUAGGAAAAGCAGCCUAAUAGGUUUUUAUUGUUAUAUUGGUUGUACUGUAGAGGAAUAGAGGCAAAAAUUAUAUGUUCUUUUAACUAUUUUCAAGUUAAUUCCUUGGCUUGAUGGAUGUUGCAGAGUAAUUUCAUGGUCUUUGAAAACCAAAAUCUAUGAUGAAGAGCACAAAAAAAGUCAAAAUUUCUCCCUGGAAAAAAUCCCAAAACCAAAUAAAAAACAGUACCCCAGCCAAAAAAUAGAAGAAUCAAGGUCAGAAAUAGUUACUAGAAAAAUACGAUAAGCAAAAGAAAAAGGGAAUGCUAUAUAUUAUACCCAGAAAACACAAGUGUAUGAGUUUUGGUCAUCAAAUGCAGGAGGUGUUGAGGAGGUGGCCAUCAGCAAUAUAUGUCUUUCUUGCCUCUUACUUGUUUCUUCAGUUUCUUAGCAAAGAGCUGUUAAACCUAUAAGCAGGCUUCAUGAUGGAACUCUGCCUAGUUCCAAUCUCAGAUACAUACUCUUAAUGGUUUCCUUUAUUUUGCUCUGUGUCUGCAGUAGUGCGUAGCUUUGUGCAGGCACAGCAAACCUGCUGAUCCAAGGUUUCAACAGUGAGUUUCCUCGUGAAUGUUUUCUG